This 301-nucleotide ribosomal RNA is filed under the name uncultured bacterium. RNAcentral describes it as "partial 16S ribosomal RNA". It matches the Rfam family "Bacterial small subunit ribosomal RNA", at positions 509 to 807 of the family's 1533-position model. The record is from RNAcentral.
CAGCCGCCGCGGUAAUACAGAGGGUGCGAGCGUUAAUCGGAUUUACUGGGCGUAAAGCGUGCGUAGGCGGUUUGUAAAGACAGAUGUGAAAUCCCCGGGCUCAACCUGGGAACUGCAUUUGUGACUGGCAGGCUAGAGUAUGGCAGAGGGGGGUGGAAUUCCGCGUGUAGCAGUGAAAUGCGUAGAUAUGCGGAGGAACACCGAUGGCGAAGGCAGCCCCCUGGGCCAAUACUGACGCUCAUGCACGAAAGCGUGGGGAGCAAACAGGAUUAGAUACCCCGGUAGUCCCUGUCUCUUAUAC